RNAcentral lists this small nuclear RNA (115 nucleotides) under Vulpes vulpes (red fox). RNAcentral describes it as "U4 spliceosomal RNA (ENSVVUG00000006374.1)". The stretch from base 1 to 83 matches the Rfam family "U4 spliceosomal RNA". From Rfam's summary of the family: U4 small nuclear RNA (U4 snRNA) is a component of the major U2-dependent spliceosome. The structure of U4 snRNA from yeast and human has been reported. U4 snRNA presents a k-turn RNA motif in the 5p-SL related to recognition of Snu13 protein. The record is from RNAcentral. Lineage: Eukaryota; Metazoa; Chordata; Mammalia; Carnivora; Canidae.
AGCUUUGCACAGUGGCAGUCUCAUAGCCAAUGAGGUUUAUCUGAGGCGCGAUUAUUGCUAAUUGAGAACUUUUGAAGUUGCCCUUGGUUAUUAUAUUGAUUCGAACGGCACCGAA